This is a long non-coding RNA of Columba livia (rock pigeon), 8804 nucleotides long. RefSeq lists it as uncharacterized. The record is from RefSeq and is a predicted model, not a curated record. The transcript is spliced from 3 exons. NCBI's taxonomy places the organism in Eukaryota, Metazoa, Chordata, Aves, Columbiformes, Columbidae.
AGACUCUGAAGGAAAAGAAGAGAGAUGCUUUUGAAAGAUUACUCAUUAAUGCUCGCCUGACCGUUGUGCCUCUAGCCCAGGAGUCAAUAAGAAGGAAAACAUCCGUGGCAUCACCCUGUGCUUCCGGCUGGAAUAAAACACAAGGAGUAACAACACGACUUGUUCACGAGAAGCACAGUGAAGAAAUCCAGGCUUUCUGCAGGAUUUGCAGUGGCUUUCCCACUGCAACAGCCCUAGCUCCACGUGUGUCUCCUAGAGGGACCUCAAGGCAUUCCCACACCCCAUAAGUAGCAGCUCGAAGGGGCAGGGAAUAUACUGGAAGCAAAUUCUUCCCUUUUUUCCUCCCAGACAUUUCCAUGGGCUCUACAAGGAGGUCAACAAACUGGCCAUAGUGGCAAACUGUCAGAAGAGAACAAGAAGAAACAUGUAAAACUGCUUUAAAGGAAUUUUUCCAGCCAGGUUUUUGCACAAUAACAAUGAGAGCCCCUACAAUUGCAGGGCAGUCACAGCUGCCAACCUGCGAGGUCUCGCUGGGGGGGUGGUUGUGGAGGUGAGGCUUCCCUAGGGUCUUGCCUGCAGUUGGGACUCAUGCGACCACUGGCAAUGUAAAGGGGAAACCCUUCACCAAAGGCUGAAGCUCACCCAGCCAUGGGUAAGAUUAAGAUUUUGGGAUGAGGCAUCUGUUUUUUUUUGGAAGAUUUUUCUUGGAAAGGGAAUGACCCUUACACCGCUCGUGGGGAUCAGUCCCCAGGGGCUUGGCGCUUUGCUUAUGGCACAUGAAACCCUUCUGAGCAGAUGUAAACCAAGCAAAUUCCAGCCGUGGCCACCAAGAGUGCACAAGCCACCACCACAGCAAUGGCACAGGUCUGCCAGCAAGUCACCUCCUCCGUCCAAACAGCCGGUGGAAUCUAUUUGCUUACCCACCUACAUCAGACUAAUUCAUAUUCUUUCUCCCCCGUGUGUCUGAAAUGCAUAUCCCCUUGUAGGGACAGUCUUUGCAAUGCAGAAAUACAAAAGACUUGAACAUGAAAUCAUCACGAGAUAAAAAUUCUCUUUAAGGCAAAGGACAAAAAACGAGGAGUGCUUGUUGCAUUGUUGUGAAAAACAUCUGUUCCCUCGAUAAUUGGUUGCAUGCAACAGUAUUUACAUAGUUGAAGGGCUAGAAUAAAACUACUACUUUACAUAUAUGGAAGGGGAGAAGGGGAACAGAGGUUAGGGCAGGUUAGAUUGAGAAAUCAGCUCUUCCUUUAGGCCUGCACAAGUGAACGCAACUCAAGUUUUGCUGCUCUAGCUACCUGCAGGAAAGUGAUGUGUGGCUGUCUACAUGCGCAUUGUGUGAACCUUCGGUACAACUUCUGCCCUUGGGCAAACAUGUGCAAGAUGGAGACCCAGCAGAUCCUCACGUGAGCCGUUUCUGAUGGGGUUGUUUGCCAGGAUGGACUGGCUGAAGCAAGGACACAAUCUGGGUUCUGCUAUAUUUGACGUGAGAGCUUGAACUCACCAAGAUGGUCAUUACAUUAAGAGAUGCCCUCUCACUCCAUUAACCAGAAAGUCUGUCUUUUGGAAGGAGAAAGCCUUUUCUGGCGAAACCUUUGUUUGAAUCAGCACAUUACUAUGAAAAUACUUUACUUUCAGCAAAUGAGCAUUUUAUGACCAAGGAAUCCACAAAGAAAGAGGCAGUUGGACCUUUUCUGACCAGUUCUGACUGUUAGGUACCAAGCUUGAUAGAAAUAUUUUUCUCUGCUGUGUCAGACCCCAUUUGAGAAGAUGCCAAAUUCCAGCUUUCCAAGGGGAACCAAAAUGUCUUUCUCUGAUAAACUUUGUGUCCUGGGCUGAUCACUUCAGCACACACCACCGAGGCACAGCAGUGCCACGUUCUGGCACCCACAGCAAGCAUGAACACAAUGGCUUUAAACCCAGCUGGAAGGAUCCCUUCACUAAGUCCUUCUUGGAUGGGCCAGCUCAGUCAACGCUUGCUCCCGAGAACUGGGAAAAAGUGGGAGAAAGGGUGGGAAGUUGUUUCCUGGCUGUGGUCAGGAAUGCCCCCCGACAGGCCACAUCUGAAGGCACCGAGCCAUGGCGAUGCCUCUUCUCAAAGUUCUUCUUUUCCACGUCAGGCACCCUUAAGAGCAAAAGAUCAUUCACUUCACUUGCUCAGUUUUCAGCACAUAACAGAGCUCUUUCCCUGGGUGAUUUCCUGAAGUAGCCAGAAACUUUCAGCUUGUUUCCUAUUUUAAUCUGAGGUGCUGAUUUUGUGCUCUCGUGUCUUGGUCUUGAAAGGAAACCCUAACCAUCGGGGAUGGACGGGUCCAAGAGUUCCACCCGACAUGGAUUCGGGAUGAGAGCAAGGCAGAUCUGGGGACUAAGACUGUAGAACCAAACAAGGACUGGUCUUGUCUCAAAGCAGUGGCUCAACACAUCUUCCUGGGAUUCUUCCCACCACCCCUUGCGUGGCUGCACACGACGUAUCUCUAUUCACAUCAGCUUUUCCAACCAUCUGGAAAAAUGUCAGAAAUGCUACUCAGUCUCUCCUUCCCAUUUUGGGGGAGAAAGCAGGUUUUCUGACAUCUCUGCAGAGAAACUGUCAGGGACCGACGGCCGAGUGGGGAAGGUACCUUGGGAUUUAUUAUGGUGUACAUGGUAUUUUGGCAAAUUCUUCAACACGAGCUUGGCAAAAAGUCUCAUUAAAAGACGUCUGAGCGUUUUAACAAAAUAAAUAUUCAUCGCUUGCUGUGACUUGUUAUAGCCAAUGAUUCUUGGACAGGGUCGCCUUCUUUCAAAUCUCUCAUCUCUUCCAUAGCAUGUACAAAACAAGUUUCAGGAGAACAGGCAGUUCGUUGAGUUUUUAAUUCCUCCUUUGAGCUACUCAUAGCUUGGAGAGCUUCCAGAGGCCACUGAGUCACAGCCUUCCAGUACUGAAAUAUGCAGCCUGUGAGGAUCAAGUUUAGCCUCGAGCCCUUUGCUUUCUUCUGCAAAAAUACUGGCUGAGAGAGUAGCUUAAGAUUCAUUUUUUCCCUGAAAGCAACGGGGACAUCUCAGCCUUGAUGCACCAGCAAAGAUGAAGCCAUCACGGCCAUGCUAGCAGGCGAUGAAGCGGCACGGGAGACGUGGCAAGCCCAGGAACGCUCGGCGAUGCGAGGGGUAAUGGAAGCAGCACAAAAGCUUUUAUCCACUCCCCCUUUCUCCCCUCUCGUCCCAGCUGCACAGCAAUUAAUCCGAUCAGCCGAUGCAGCGGAAGGCAUCAAACGCAGGGCAGGGCAGGGCUAGGAGACAGCAGCGCUGGCUGUAGUUCGUGCCCAUUUAAUGACCGAGGAGCUGCUUUGCCAGCGUCCCCGGCGCCAUGGGCACCCCGGGGAAAGCCUGAGAGCAACGAGGUUGUGCCCACUCUCUUUGCCCUUUGCAGCACCCAUCACUGCAGCAGCGAUAGGAGCAGCGGUUGUCCCCGUCCCCACACGCUGUCCCCGUCCCCACACGCUGUCCCCGUCCCCACACGCUGUCCACAUCACCUGCACCGGGAGGAACGCGGUGUUUUGUGCAAGGUGAGGGAGGGAAGUGCUGGCAUCACCUCAUGUGGUGACAGUAGUUUGGGAGAUGCGGUUUAUGCCCCAAAUUCUCCUCUUCCCCAUGGCGCAGAGAAGAUGUAAUGCCAUAACUACAGGUGUCAUUUGCUUCUGUGUUGUUUUCUUUGUUUUACUGUUAAUUUCUUUUGCUCUGCUGCAUCGCACAGGACAGACAGGGGCAGAAAGUAGGUGCAGAGUGACCAACGUGAAGAUAAACACAUUCUUCUCAAGACCUGUUUUGCUUCCAUGUAAACAGAAAAGACAGGUUUUUUGUCUCAAAGUCAAAGUAUAAAGUUCUACUAGUCCCCCACAGACAAGCCUAGUCCACAAAGACCUUGUGGGAGAUGCUGAAGCACUUUGGACCAAAGUCCAGCUGCACUGCCAGUCUGAUCAGAAGUGUCCACCCCUCUUAGUGAGUCAGAAACCACAGACAUGGAAAAGCGAAACAGAUGAAACGAAAUUACCAGCAGCGGAGACUUGGCAAAGACAGGGAGGAGAAGCUACAGCUCCUACUAUACCUGAGAAAGCAGAAGCCAACUGGAUUUGCCCAAACAGUAAUAUUCUAGGAGAAAAAAUCAAGUCUGAGGGCUAUCCCGGAACAUGUCCUGCAGUUGCUCAGCUGAAAGGCUUUGAAGCAAAGAACCCCAUACUGCAAGGGACGGUGUCCACCAAGGCAUCAAGGACAGUUCAGAGAGGCUGAUCAGCCUCGACUUCAGAAGCGGUUGCGCUGGACCAGGGCUGAGGCAGGUUUGUGCAGAAGCAUGAGGAGCACAGGCUGCAGCCUGCAACCCUGGAAGUGUCCUGUGGCUCAUGGGCUCUGCAAAGCCCAUAAACCCACUGACCCUCAAGAUCUACUUUGAAAAAGGUGUAAAUGUAAGUAGCCAAGACCUGCAGGCUCCAUAGAUACAUCCAUAAAAGGCCCACAAAGAGGGCUGAAAAGAGGAUCCACCCCAGCAUUACGACCUAGUCUCCUGCAUGCAGAUGCGAUGGGCACACGUCUUCCACAGGAACAUCUUCUUCCUUCUUAGAGAAGCAGCGUCAAGUAUUUUUCCUGUGUUCCUGCUCGAAACCCAGAGUCAGAACAGAUACCAAUAAAAAACAAGACGUGGCUGCUUCCUGCCCCUCAGGAUUUUUAAAUCUUACUGGGGAGAUGCGUUUUGCUGUCCAAAACCCAUUCUGGUCCUGGGUAGGAUGAAGGGGAGAUCAGCAUGGAGGGCACUGAAGAAGCUGGACACCUCCAGUUGGGCUGGAACUGCAUUCCUGCUCCUGGGGAGGGAUCAGCAGGCUGCCGAAAGAGAACUCAGCAAGCAGGCCUUAUAAAACUAUACCUAAAAGGGAAAAAUUAACAGCGGUUACCCUUAGCACACCCAGCAAAUGAGCAAGAGAGAUGGAGGUUCACUUUCAACAAGCCAAACUGCUGUUGGGCAAAAAAGUUACCCUCAGGAGUUCCUGUGGUUCACAAGGUCCAAAUCAAUUGGCCACAUAAUGAGGCGAAAACCUAAAUAACUCUUUAACUCUUCCAUCUUCCUAAAAAUACUUAUUUUGGUACUGAGAAGAUAAAGGAAUCCAUAUUUCAAAAUGAAAAAGGAUACUCAAGAACUACACUGAACCUGAAAACAUGCAAGACGAAUCUUCCCUUUAAAUUAUACAACCUCACAAUCCUGAACCGAAAGAGGGGAACCGCUUCCACUUUUAUGUGUCAUCUAUCUUUAGUCCUCCAGAACGCAAAGAGAUGCAAAGACUGCGGUAUUAAAGAAACGAGGCUCGAAAUAAUUUAUACUGUAGAAUUCCCACUGUCCCCCCGACCAGUUAUAAAUAUUGAUGGGGUGUUUAAGGCAGCCAAUCACACAAAUAUUUAAUAUUCAUAGAUACCACACAGGGAAUUCAACAUACACUUCUUGCAGGCUCUUCUUUAUGUAAUGUUCAAGCGCGUUACCUCUGUGGACAGAGACGCGAUUUUAUGCACAGCAGCUGAUGCAAAACUCUUCCUUCUCGGAGGCUCCUCACGCUCCAGAUUACAUUGGUAAUGGCAGCGCCAGAGAAACAGCUUUAUUAUUGAUUCUUACGUGUAAAUCGGGAAGAAAACAGAUGUCACGAAUCGUUAUCGGUAAGGAGCUAGGCUGUGUCACAGUGAAGCCAGCUGCUGGUGGCAUGUCAUGCCGCAGAACAGCUGCCAGGGACUGCCACAGGAUCACAGAGUCAUAGAAUGUCCUCAGGUGGAAGGACCCACAAGGAUCAUGGAGUCCAACUGCUGUCCCUACACAGGACACCCCACAGGUCACACCGUGUGUCUGAGGACGUUGUCCUGUCUCUUCUUGAACACUGUCAGGCUGGGGUGGUGACACCUCCCUGGGGAGCAGGACCUUGUGGGUCACUUCCAACUCAAGACACUCUGUGAUGCUGUGAUUGCCACCAUUGUCUUCAGCUGAAUCAGGAUCAGUCAAGGCUGAAGAAUGGAAGAAUGGGAAGAACAAGGAGUGAGCGGAACAUGAUGUAAAAACACCAGUAAUGGCACCCCAAACACACAGUCAGUGAACAAGGGACAGCAAGGUGCCGCUGUGCCUCCCACGGAAACAUUCCAGAGGUCAGUCAGAAGCACGGAAAGAAAAAUAGCAAAUGCAAAAUACUUGCAUAUGUGCUAAAACAAACAUAAAGGAACUUUCUAUUCAAGUGCCUUGGCUGCAGUACUCCACAUGUGCAAAUAAGUUUCACAUUCAGCCCCCCUUGCCCACGUUGUCUUUAAGUAUGUGUGUGCGUGUUCCUGAUAUCACCAGAGCUGCGCGUGUGUCUGAAGAAAAGUGAAUCACUUGGUGACCACUUUUGAAUUUUACACUUCCCCACGUCAGCAUUACUGAAGAUGGUACCGGCAGGCUGUCCAACCCGCCCGUGCUCAGCUCGAGCGCUCGCAGCCAGAACACGGCUCCGGCAAACAUGUUCCGCUCCCUCCCCAGCGCUGCAACACAAGUCUGCACAAUGCAGGUUCACCAGGAAAGAAGGCACGCUCAAGGUGGCGGGUCGGCUGUUUAUAUGUCCUAAGGAGGGCCUUACCGCAGAGAAAUCAUCUUCAGUCGCUGGCCCACGGCUUGCUCCAGCCCUGUGAAGGUACACCAUUCGUUCUUCCUGGAAAAAUUUGCUCAUAUAAACAGAUCUUUCCCAUGAUAUGCGGGAAAUUUCAGUGAGAAAGCCCUACAGGCUACAUUCUUAGGAGAAAUAACAAAACUGGGCUUCCCCAGUGGUGAGCUGAUUCAUCUCUCCAACUUCUUUGCUCCCACCAACUGCUUUUUCUAGAGGCACUUCAAGAGCCGUCACUACAAGCUGCUUUGGUGCAGAGAAGGGCAUAUUUAGAAGAGCUGACUUGAACUGCACUGUCACCACAAGGAGUGCAAGGUCCUGUUCUGACACGGGACCACCCCACGCAUCCGUCUGGCUGAGCAACAGACCUUUCUGAAAAGAUCCUGGUGGUUAUGGUGGAUCCACCACGGGAUACAAGGCAGGAGGGCAAAGGUGGCAAAUCACAGCAUGUCAUGGCCUUGAGCAACACCAUCUUGACUUCAUGGCUGGAUCUAACACCAAACCUUGAGUGGGGGUAGGACCACAACGCCUCCAGUGGUCCCCUCCAACCUGAAUGACCGUGACUUUGCUGAGGGAGCUGGGGGUUCAGCUGGAGAACAGGAGCUGAGGGGAGACCUUCUGAUCUCUGACCUGCCUGAAAGGAGCUUGGAGCCAGGGGGGUCGGGCUCUGCUCCCCAGGAACAAGCGCCAGGAGCAGAGGAAAUGGCCUCAAGUUGCGCCAGGGGAGGUUGAGGUUGGAUCUGGGGAACAAUUUAUUCCCCAAAGGGCUGUGGGGCAUUGGAACAGGCUGCCCAGGGCAGUGCUGGAGUCACCAUCCCUGGAGGGUUGGACAGAUGGAGAUGAGGUUCUCGGGGACAUGGAGUAGUGCCGGGGUGGGUUACGGUUGGACUCAAUGAUCUUAAGGGUCUCUUCCAACCAAAAUGAUGCUACGAUUCUAUGAGUCUAAUUCGUAGAGGCAAGCAAUGGAACAGGAGGCUGAGCCUUGGGAAGUUCAGACUGCAGAUGAAGAAACACUUCUCCCAGCAGAGCUGCAGCCCUGGGACAGGUCACCAGUGACUUGGGGCAUCUCCAUCCCAUUUGUUUUUAAAACUCCAGCUAGAAAAGGCACAGCUGCCUUGACCUCAUGUUAGCGGGAGCUGGAGAAGAGAUCUUCAGAGGUCCUGGCCACGCUGCCACACUAUUCACCAUAGCUUAUUACAUUUAAUCGCAUGUUUACGGUGUCAGAGAGGGAACCCCGACCGAACAAGGAAGACCAGAACCAGAAGUCUCCCAGGUCUGAACCUAAACAUGCUUUAGCACACUGAACUUGGUAAUACUUCAUCAUUAUGUAUUAGGCAGUAGCUGAUUAUGGAAAUCCUUCCUUAUUCUGCGACGGUGAGUCACAACGCUUUGGAGGUCACCACAAAGGUGGGCAGGUUUUCACCCCCACUUCACAGAAGUAGUUAAAUCUGGUCAUCAUCACCAUCUGAGCAAAUAACAGCAUCGGGAAGUGUUUUCAGCUCCUAACGAACUUGAUGAAACUCAAACGCUAGCGGUUUUUCUCGAGCUGAUCUAUGCCAACACGCUCUUGGUGUAUGAAAUACAUUUAAUAAAUAAAACAUACACUUACUCGACUGCCAUCUCCCAGAAACAGAUGAGAAGUGUCUGCCUUGUGGGAUGUUCUCCAAGCCUUACUGAGCAGCCGUAUUAUGUGCAGCCAUUUCAAGGAUUUUCCGUGAUUAUAAAAGCACACUGGCUGCCUUCGAAUUAGACUGAACCGCCUCAAUUAUACAACUCAUUACUACUCCCAAGCACGCUUAGUGGAAACAACAGGAGUUGUAAAGUAAUGGAUGACGGGAGAUAAAUUGGCAUGUGUAUGAAUCAAUGUUUAAACAAAGGAACUCCAGCUCUUUCUUGGAAUAGCAACAUUUUGAUGUCUCAAAUCCCCCGACGCUGCUUUCAUAAACGCAGUAACGUAAACCAUGUGCUGGGUGGUGAUUUUCUGAGGACAUUCCCGCUUUCAUUGUGUAUUUUAUUACAGGCCAAAUGUGACAUUAAAUGCUAUCCGCUGCGGCUUGGAGUUAAAUACUUGCUCUGUUCAGAAUAGCAACACUCAAUUAAACAGCAUUUUUCAUGAUCUACACCCUCUAUUGUCACUGUGUUUAAGGGAAAUAAUGGGAGCACUGACCUAUA